RNAcentral lists this ribosomal RNA (588 nucleotides) under uncultured bacterium. RNAcentral's name for it is "bacterial SSU rRNA". It matches the Rfam family "Bacterial small subunit ribosomal RNA", at positions 338 to 945 of the family's 1533-position model. The record is from RNAcentral.
CCUACGGGAGGCAGCAGUGAGGAAUUUUCCGCAAUGGGCGAAAGCCUGACGGAGCAAUACCGCGUGAGGGAUGAAGGAUUUUGGUCUGUAAACCUCUUUUCUCAAGAAAGAAGUUCUGACGGUACUUGAGGAAUAAGCAUCGGCUAACUCCGUGCCAGCAGCCGCGGUAAUACGGGGGAUGCAAGCGUUAUCCGGAAUGAUUGGGCGUAAAGCGCCUGUAGGUUGUUUAUUAAGUCCGUUGUUAAAGCCUAGGGCUCAACCCUAGAAAAGCAAUGGAAACUAGUAGACUAGAGUAUGGCAGGGGUAGAGGGAAUUUCUAGUGUAGCGGUGAAAUGCGUAGAUAUUAGAAAGAACACCGGUGGCGAAAGCGCUCUACUGGACCAUUACUGACACUCAGAGGCGAAAGCUAGGGUAGCAAAAGGGAUUAGAUACCCCUGUAGUCCUAGCCGUAAACGAUGGAUACUAGAUGUUGUGCAUUAUGUACAGUAUCGUAGCUAACGCGUUAAGUAUCCCGCCUGGGGAGUACGCUCGCAAGGGUGAAACUCAAAGGAAUUGACGGNNGAGAGNGCGAGACGACGACGAGGAGAG